Molecule: long non-coding RNA, 388 nt
Organism: Lingula anatina
Lineage: Eukaryota; Metazoa; Brachiopoda; Lingulata; Lingulida; Lingulidae
Source: RefSeq, a predicted model, not a curated record
GUCACAAGCAUACGGAAAUACUAUUUUGCGCUAAAAAAAAGUUUGUUUCAACAAUUAAUUUUGGGGAAACAUGCCUCCAGAUCUACAGAAAAAGGUUAACGCAAAUUUAUAGAUAAAGCAUCAGGUGUUUGAGUACAAGGGAUUGAUUGACUGCUUCAUGGAGUAUUAUAAACACUGAAGGAUUUGUAAGGAUUUAUCUGCUGAGCACGACUGUACAUAUUUGAAUAGCAGAGAUUCAGAUGAAUAAAGAGAUUAGUAACAAAGGACAGUGAAACUUUUCAUCACCAUAUAGUAAUCCACACUAAAGGUGAGAUUGACACACUCUUUGAUGCUAAGACAUACCUGAUAUACUUAGGGGGAACUGAUAUCACUUUUUGUCUAUUCAGGU